GGGUGUGUAGCUCAGUGGUAGAGCACCUGUCUAGCAUGCACGGGACCCUGGGUUCCAACCCCCAUACUUG
This 70-nucleotide transfer RNA is filed under the name Marmota monax (woodchuck). It matches the Rfam family "tRNA". From Rfam's summary of the family: Transfer RNA (tRNA) molecules are approximately 80 nucleotides in length. The record is from Rfam by way of RNAcentral. Lineage: Eukaryota; Metazoa; Chordata; Mammalia; Rodentia; Sciuridae.